CUUCACCUUGCUGUCUAAUAAAGCUGAAAAUGCUGCCUUGAAGGCAACUGAUUUUGGCCUCUCUGUGUUCAUUGAGCAAGGGUGAAAAUGUUGAGAAAUGUAGUUUAAGCAUCUGAUCGUUGACGAGUUUAAGAAAGUUUAACAACUCUCAUCCUUGCAAAGGUGAGCUCGGUUGGAGUUACUGGAGCUCGGGCAUCUGUGAGUGACAAGGUUGAGUCCAUUCUAAAGCAAAUUAAGGAGUUCCAACAAGUUGAUUAUGACAAAGCGGUUAUUGAUCUGG
Molecule: long non-coding RNA, 280 nt
Organism: Ipomoea nil (Japanese morning glory)
Lineage: Eukaryota; Viridiplantae; Streptophyta; Magnoliopsida; Solanales; Convolvulaceae
Exons: 4
Source: RefSeq, a predicted model, not a curated record